Raphanus sativus (radish) is the source of this 2043-nucleotide long non-coding RNA. RefSeq lists it as uncharacterized. NCBI's taxonomy places the organism in Eukaryota, Viridiplantae, Streptophyta, Magnoliopsida, Brassicales, Brassicaceae. The record is from RefSeq and is a predicted model, not a curated record. The transcript has 3 exons.
AGGGAAAGGACUACGAUAUGAUAAUAAUAUAGUAAAUGAUCACUUUACCGUCACAGAUCGUCAUUACCCGGAAAAAAAAUUCAUUGUUUCUCGAUAUGCGCAUGUGCUUUUAGAGUAAAGCCCCCGAAAAAUAGAUUAAAACCUGUUUCUUUUUCGUCUUUGUCUCCACCACUUUUCACAUCCAAAACUAAACCCUUGUUUGUUCCACCUUCUUGUUUCACUGUUGUGUUUCUUCGUUUUCCCCUCUACCGAAUCCACAAUGCGAAUCUCUGAAUCGGACUCGUUGAUAUCUCGGCAUCUCUCUCUCUCGAUUUUCCCGUUCUAUCCAUUCGUUUCUCCGUCCGAUCCGGCCAGGCUUUCAAAUUUUCCAGUAUGCUGGAGCGUUGAAGAAGAGGAGGGCUUUCAGUUAAAUGGGUGUUGUGCAACUCUAUCCAGCGAACCUGGUCUGGAGGAUGGUGUAACCGAGAUGAAGAACAAGAACACGGUAAAUGUGGUUAAGCCGAUUGAUACAGAAAAGAAAACAGUGACAAACAUGAUGAUUUCUCUGUGGAAGAGAAGGGAGAUAGAUCUAAGCAAGUGAGGUUGACAACAUGGGUGAUUGUUUUGUUGAUGAGGUGAAAGCAGGGAAUGCUCUUCUCUGUCUGUGGCAAAUGAUUACAGAAAAGAGAUUGACAAACAAUGGUGUGGCUGUGGAAAAAGGAAAGAAAGGGAGGCAAAAGUAGUGAUGGCUUUUCUGUUAAGAAGAAGCUACUACGUGAGCUUGUGGAAUUUCCUGGUGCCUAAGGAGACUCAUGGAAAAGAGGACGGCCUCGGAAGCUGCAGAUUAGCAGUCAGUCUGAUGGUAACGAGGACAAAGUUAUUUGCGUUAAGGAGAAGCAAGAUCUAGGGAAUGAGCAAUGGGCGGAACCUAAUAAGAUUCUAGGAGUCAGUCAGGUUGAGAUUCGGGUGGGUAGAUCAUACGAUGAAAAUGGGCCACAUAAUGAAGAGCUAAAAGUCAAACGUAAGCGGGGAAAGUUACCGGCUGAGAAUGUCAGACUGUGAGCAUGGGAGCACCCUGUUAACGUUGGAACAGAGUAACUCUAUUGAGAUGAUUCCAGGAGGAGACCAAAGCGUAACUGUGGAGGCAGGGCUAAGAGACAUGACUUUGACGGAGGCGAUUGCAGGAGGGGAAGGAAGCGUGGAAGACCUCCAACACCAAAGACGAAGAAGAAACCUGGGGAGACUGAUUGUAAAGCAAUGAAGCCUUGUGAGAGUUCCUCAAUGUCACGGGACAACAAACCCUCAAGUGAUGGCGAAAUGAGGAUUGGAGAACAAAAGCAAAAUAAUGAUAGGAAGACGAUCUUUAUUAGAAUCCAAGAAAAAGCAAGCUUAGUUUGAGUUACUUCUAGCUGCUGGUUGGACAGUUGAAUACAGGCCCCGUAACGGCGGGAAGACGUAGCACAACGCUGCUGUUUAUGUGAAUCCCCACUGGUCAGUGACCAAAGCUUAUGAAGUCUAUAAAGUAAAUUCUAGAUCAAGCAGACUCUGUUCUUGGGUUACUGCCAGAAGAGGACCUUGACCUUUUAAGGAGAAAAGCUCAGAAGAAACGGAGCGAUACAGGUAAGCCAAAGGUCAAAGAACCGCAAGGACACAUAUACUAAUGAAGAUAUGGUCUCGAAAGAGAAAAAGCGCAGAAGAAACGAAAAGGGUCACACAGCUUAGAAAGAAGUUUGGUUUCAGUCCGGAAAAUAAAGAGGGAAGAAAAACAUAAUAGAAAGCUGCGGUGCUUUGUCAGCUCGCAGUUCUUUGUCGGAUGCAGAUUCCAACGAGAAUGGGUACAUUUUGUUUGAAGGGAAACGCACCAUGCUGGGAUGGAUGAUUGAUUCAGCCAUUGUGCCACUUAACGGGAAAGUUCACUGCGAAAACACUGAAGAAGGAAUAAUCACAAAAGAAGUGGAGAUCAAAAUGAUGAUACAUGUGCUAUAUGCGGGGACGCGGGAGAUCUUAACUGCUGUGAUGGUUGCCCGUCAACUUUCCAUCAGAGCUGCCUGGGCAUUAAAGUAA